RNAcentral lists this ribosomal RNA (465 nucleotides) under uncultured bacterium. RNAcentral's name for it is "partial 16S ribosomal RNA". It matches the Rfam family "Bacterial small subunit ribosomal RNA", at positions 28 to 507 of the family's 1533-position model. The record is from RNAcentral.
GACGAACGCUGGCGGCGUGCUUAACACAUGCAAGUCGAACGGAAAGGCCCUGCUUGCAGGGUACUCGAGUGGCGAACGGGUGAGUAACACGUGGGUGAUCUGCCCUGCACUUCGGGAUAAGCCUGGGAAACUGGGUCUAAUACCGGAUAGGAGCCAUUUUUAGUGUGAUGGUUGGAAAGUUUUUUCGGUGUAGGGUGAGCUCGCGGCCUAUCAGCUUGUUGGUGGGGUAAUGGCCUACCAAGGCGGCGACGGGUAGCCGGCCUGAGAGGGUGGACGGCCACAUUGGGACUGAGAUACGGCCCAGACUCCUACGGGAGGCAGCAGUGGGGAAUAUUGCACAAUGGGCGCAAGCCUGAUGCAGCGACGCCGCGUGGGGGAUGACGGCCUUCGGGUUGGAAACUCCUUUCGCUAGGGACGAAGCUUUUUGUGACGGUACCUAGAUAAGAAGCACCGGCUAACUACGUG